RNAcentral lists this ribosomal RNA (497 nucleotides) under uncultured bacterium. RNAcentral's name for it is "partial 16S ribosomal RNA". It matches the Rfam family "Bacterial small subunit ribosomal RNA", at positions 28 to 507 of the family's 1533-position model. The record is from RNAcentral.
GACGAACGCUGGCGGCGUGCCUAAUACAUGCAAGUAGAACGCUGAAGGGAGGAACUUUCUCUUCUUGGAUGAGUGUCGAAGGGGGGAGUAACGCGUAUGGAACCUUGCCUGUAGGGGGGGAUAACUAACUGAAACGGUAACUAAUACCGCAUAAAAUUGAAUAUCGCAUGAUAAUCGAUCUAAAGGUGCAAAUGCAUCACUACCAGAUGGACCCGCGUUGUAUGAGCUAGUUGGUGGGGUAACGGCUCACCAAGGCGACGAUACAUAGCCGACAUGGGAGGGAGAUCGGCCACACUGGGAAUGAGACCAGGCCCAGGAUCCUACGGGAAGCAGCAGUAGGGAAUCUUCGGACAUGGGGGGAAGUCUGACCGAGCAAAGCCGGGUGAGUGAAGAAGGGUUUCGGAUCGUAAAGGUCUGUUGUACGAGAAGAAAGAGUGUAAGGGUGGAAAGUUUACACUGUGACGUUAUCUUAACAGAAAGGGACGGCUAACUACGUG